RNAcentral lists this long non-coding RNA (2311 nucleotides) under Oreochromis niloticus (Nile tilapia). RNAcentral describes it as "lncRNA (ENSONIG00000040146.1)". The record is from RNAcentral. Lineage: Eukaryota; Metazoa; Chordata; Actinopteri; Cichliformes; Cichlidae.
AGUCCAUCCAUUGCACUCUUUGGUGCAUGACUCUGGUCCCAGAACCAGGUUUCUGGAGAGGUGCUGAACUCAUUCCACCUUGGAGUUGGAAACUAUACGUCUGUGCCCUAGGAUGAAGGUUUCUUCAGUGAACAAGAGGGUUUAUUUGAUUCGGGGAAUUUUAACAUUUUAAAGAGCAGAGUCCUUUUUGAAAUCUUUGUUGGGCACCACACAUGGGCAAUGACAGUAAAGCCUGGGGGCUUUGUUUGAGAGGAGUAGCUGGCUUGUUGCUAGCACUGAUGAACCAUCACCUAAGAGAAAAGUAGUGACUGAAAGAAGAUCACAGACACAAACAGUCUAAAUAAGCUUCCUCCAAAUGACGUUGGCCACUCCUUUGCAUUGAAAGGAGCCGUUUCCAGUGAUUCUUGCACACCUCUAGGUGAGAUGUUUCAAGCAUCUCCAGCCGAGCUGACACUGAAGGGUAGUCCCAGGACACACUGGAGGGGUUAUAGCUCUCAGCUAUCUCAGGAAUGCUUCGUUUACCUUGAUUUGAAAUCACUACCAGGGUGUUUAAUAUGACCGCUUCUUUCACUCACUUUUAGAUUUGAGCAGUACUUUCCCUAAAGUGAACAGUUUCUGGAAACUUUAGUAGCCUAAAUAACAACUAACUGAACAAUGUAUUUGUGUCUUUCCAUAUAGCACACUGGUGUCACUGAUUCGAAAGAGAAGAGGCAUCAGAACCGACAUCCCGCUGGUGGAACAGGACUCUGCCAAGACACCAGAAGUGGAUGUCAGGCAGCAGGCAGUGGAGGAAAUGAUGCAAAGGAUUAAGAAAGGUGUUCAGCUUCGACCUGUGAACCAGUCACCUAACAGGACCAGGAAACAGAUGGAGAAGCUGCCCUCUAAUUCUGCUAUUCAGGAACUUAAAGGAAUCAUGGAGAAUUUUAACAGAACUGUACAACAACCAAAGGCAGCGUCUCCGACAACGACCCGAGACGACGAGCUGCAGAGGAUUCUGCUGAGGCGGCGGGACGCGCUGGACGCCUAACACAAAGGUCAGCGUCCUCGUCUCUCCCCGCAGUGUGAUGCCACCUGAGCUCAGGCCUCACCUGAGUAUCCAUGUGUACAGAGGAUGCGAGUGACUGAAGACUAAUAUGGAGUGUUAUUACCCAGCCUUUUGUUCUAUUACAUUAGUAUACACUUAAUAACCUCUGACUGUAUUAAUGAGAAUACAGUCAGAUGGAUUCCUGGUGGGUUUCACCGUCAGAGGCAAAGUCAGACAUGUUCCUGUUGCAUCAGUAAUUCCCACUGGACUGUUUGAUUCCAGUAAAAUAAAGGCAUGUAUCAUACACCACCUGGGUGCAGUUCAUUCAGCUCCUUUUGUAAAAUACCACUUCAUCGUUAUGCACAGUGACACUACAGUCGCCUCACAGCCUCGAGCUUUUGCUUUUCUCUGAAUUGUUCCAUGUAGACCAGUGUUAAACUUGUAGCCUCCCAGUAAGCAAUCACAGUGAUAGAUUUAGUUUUCAAUGGUUCUCCUCACUCACUCAGACAUAUUUUAUUUGGGGGAACAACUCCUGUUUUCUGUGUGCACCCUCACUCGACUUGUUGACCCUUAAGAUCAGCUUAUGGUCACUUCACUUCUUUAAAACACAACUCCAGGAAUUUAUUUGACAUUAUUUGAAGAGUGUGUUUGAUGUCCAGUUUGUAAAUUAUGGCCUCCUUACAGUCAUAAAGGAGGAUACAGCAGAUUACGCAGUCUGCAGUGUCUCUGAUUCUCAGUCAUUCAGUGUUUCACACGGUGGAGUGAAAAUGCUCAGCGCGAGCCUCACAGUAACCAAAGUGUCAUAUCAGUGGAUACAGCCAUCGUUUACUUACAGUUUGCAUUUUUGUGGGGGAUUUAAAAAAAACAAAACAAUCAACAACCCCAUCGUACGGUUAAGGUUCGAACUUAUUGAACAUAUUUAGGGAUCAGUUUGAAUGAAAGUGUUUUACAAUCAGAUAAAAAUGUGUUCCAGUGUUUUUCAUUUGGUCUUCACUAAGCAGCUCUUUAAUGCUCUUGGGAUUAAUAUUCACUGAUUUCCCUUUAAACUUUAUUUGAUCUCUUAUUGUACAAACCAUGUAUAAGAUCACUUUUUUUUUAAAAAACCCACAAAUAAGUUAAUGUGUUAUAUCCUGGUUUAUUUGAAUACACGUUUUGCUGUUAAAAAAGCAAAGUACCAUUUUUUUUAUUUGUCAGUGGGAAACAUGGUUUAUUUAAGCUUGUAGCGUUUUCACAGCCAGAGAGGCUCCAAAGAGCGUGAAACACAGGACGAGCCUGAGUCGUACCACC